Acanthosepion pharaonis is the source of this 109-nucleotide non-coding RNA. NCBI's taxonomy places the organism in Eukaryota, Metazoa, Mollusca, Cephalopoda, Sepiida, Sepiidae. The record is from the annotation of a GenBank genome assembly.
ACGGCCAUAACACGUUGCAUCGGUUCCCCUACGAUCACCGAAGUUAAGCAACAUUAAAGCUGAUCAGUACCUAGAUGGGUGACCGCUUCGAAAUACCACGUGCUGUAAG